CCUACGGGAGGCAGCAGUGGGGAAUAUUGCACAAUGGGGGAAACCCUGAUGCAGCGACGCCGCGUGAGUGAAGAAGUACUUCGUUAUGUAAAGCUCUAUCAGCAGGGAAGAAAAUGACGGUACCUGAGUAAGAAGCACGGGCUAACUACUUGCCAGCAGCCGCGGUAAUACGUAGGGUGCAAGGGUUAUCCGGAUUUACUGGGGGAAAAGGGAGCGUAGACGGGAGGGCAAGUCUGGAGGGAAAGGCGGGGGCUCAAACCGCGGAAUGCUCUGGAAACUGUACGGCUGGAGUGCAGGAGAGGUAAGUGGAAUUCCUAGUGUAGCGGUGAAAUGCGUAGAUAUUAGGAGGAACACCAGUGGCGAAGGCGGCUGACUGGACUGUAACUGACGUUGAGGCUCGAAAGCGUGGGGAGCAAACAGGAUUAGAUACCCCUGUAGUC
This 440-nucleotide ribosomal RNA is filed under the name uncultured bacterium. Its description in RNAcentral is "partial 16S ribosomal RNA". It matches the Rfam family "Bacterial small subunit ribosomal RNA", at positions 338 to 795 of the family's 1533-position model. The record is from RNAcentral.